UGGGGAAUAUUCGAAAUGGACGAAAGUCUGAUCUAGCAACACCGCGUGUGCGAAGCAGGCCUUCGGGUCGUAAAGCACUUUUUGGAAGGAAUAGGAAGGAAUGUACUUCCAGAAUAAGUCUCGGCUAACUACGUGCCAGCAGCCGCGGUAACACGUAGGAGGCGAACGUUAUCCGGAUUUACUGGGCGUAAAGCGCGUGUAGGUGGUUCUGUAAGUAGGGCGUGAAAGCUCCUGGCUCAACUGGGAGAGGCCGUUCUAAACUACAGAACUAGAGGAUGGUAGAGGGAGGUGGAAUUCCAGGUGUAGCGGUGGAAUGCGCAGAUAUCUGGAGGAACACCAGUGGCGAAGGCGGCCUCCUGGACCAUUCCUGACACUCAGACGCGAAAGCUAGGGUAGCAAACG
Molecule: ribosomal RNA, 402 nt
Filed under: uncultured prokaryote
Description: bacterial SSU rRNA
Rfam family: Bacterial small subunit ribosomal RNA
Source: RNAcentral